Long non-coding RNA from Leucoraja erinaceus (little skate), 3844 nucleotides. RefSeq lists it as uncharacterized. The record is from RefSeq and is a predicted model, not a curated record. The transcript is spliced from 4 exons. Lineage: Eukaryota; Metazoa; Chordata; Chondrichthyes; Rajiformes; Rajidae.
AACCGCACCAUGAGCUGCCUCUGCCAGUCGCCAGGACUACAUUCUCCACAAUCCAAUGCGCCAGACCCAACCCAUUGCCUCCCAGGAGGGAAGUUUAAAGCCUAAAGCUACAGGUAAUGGUGUUACUAACACUGGCAGCUCACUUUGUAUCUGGCUGGGGUUAAAUUAUUGUCAUCACCCAUCUAAUUAUACCACUUUGCCAUGUUUAUGACUUUCUCUGUAAUUAACAAACAUUGAAAAAUAUGUUUAGAGCUAUAGGGAGGUUUCACGGCAGUCGGGUCACGACCCAUGACCCGUACUGUUGCUACGCUACGCCAACUGGAGUACACGCGAUGAACUGCAGGAGUCAGAUGACCAAUGCCACCCUGGACAAUACACCAUAACAUGUGAAAGAAAGACCUACCAGGACCUUUAACUGAAGGUCCCUCCAGCCCACACAGGGAUCCCUACAAGAGCUUUGCUAGUCAAGUGCAUCAAUGAAAAUAAAUUAGCACAGCUUCAGACAAGUCCGGGAGAGAAGUUAAAAGAAUGGACUCCAUUCUUGAUAUUAAAAAUAAAACAAUGAUUGUCAAAGAAUGCGUUCCAAAGAUGCAGAGUUAACAGAUGAACAUAAACUGGAAACAAAAAAAUGCUCAAAAUACUGAUGUUAGACUGCAUCUAUUAUCUGAGAAGUAGAAGAAAUAUAGUUAUUUGUUUCUUUUAUUAAACUGGUUUCAUCACUAAACCUAUUGCGUUACCAGAGGAAACGGGUCUCCUGCUGUUAUUCCACUUGAUGACCUAAUAAGGUUCUAGUUUAGUUUAGUUCAGAUAUACAGUGUGGAAACAAACCCUUCAGCCUAUCAGGACCGUGCCGACCAGCGAUCCACGCACGCUAACGCUAUCUUACACACACUACGAUCAAUUUACAAUUAUACCAAAGCCAACUAACGGACAAACCUGUACGUCUUUGCAGUGUGGGGGGGAAACCGGAGCACCCGGAGAAAACCCAUGCAGGUCACGGGAAGAAUGUACAGACUCCGUACAGAAAGCACCCGUAGUCGGGAUCGAACCCGGGUCUCUGGCGCUGUAAGGCAGCAACUCUACCGUUUUGUUGGAAUAAGUACAUUUUGUGGCACUUUUGUGUUUGUCCUGGCAAAAGGAUGGCACAGCGUUAGACCAGGGCAUGUAGAGACCACUGACCCUUGAAUGCCAAGCCGAACCAUUUCACCGUUUGAAGUAGUGAUGUCCAACCUUCAUUUUAAUCAAUUAACCCCUUUCUCCCUGCCAACACCAGGGUACAAGUCGAGGCAUAGAACAUUUUUCCCUUUUUACAGACUCAGAUUAUAUUAUUUAUUUUUCAUUAUAUUAUACAAAGGUAACAAUGAGGCAUUGCAUGAGAGUGACCAUUUUAUUAGCAGCAUCCGAAAAGGUCAAAAGACAUUUGUAGUCAUGAUCGUCAAUCAGUAUCAAGCAGUAAAAAGGCAGUUAAAUCAAUAUAAUUGCGGUUGCAAAGGCUGCAAUAAUAAUGCAGGACAACACAAGAAACUGUGAAACAAAGCAAAAUUCUGUUACUAUGCAUGGUGCGGGCCUGGUGUGGAUUGUUUGUUGACAUUGGCUGGUUGUACACAAGACAGGCUGGGAGAGCUGCCAGUUCAAUUACAGUAAUUGGUCAAUUUGUGUGUCAGUGGUAUUCUGAUAAAUGAUUUUCGAUGGUGCAAAUUUUUCAGCAGGCAAGUGUGCCAUUAAUAACUCCACCAGGCGGCAGUCUUUACUAUUGCUGUUUCCCUCAUUGUGCUCAACAUGCCAUUACCACUUAUUACUCAAUGCGCAGUUUAGUUUAUUGUCACGUGUACUGAGGUACAGUGAAAAGCUUUUUUGUUGCGUGCUAUCCAAUCAGUGGAACGCCAAUAUGUGAUUACAAUCAAGCCAUCCACAGCGUACUGGGAACAACUUUUAUGGCAAGAAUGUUACAAUGGCCAAUGGUUGCCCCUUAGGGUCUGAUUAAUUCUUACACGUCUCACCUUAAACGUUAGCUCCCUGGUUCUCGAUUGUCAAAUUAUAGAAAGAUGAGAGAGGGGGGUUCUAGCCCUGUUGCUGUGUUGAACAAAACCAUGAGAGUCAUUAACUUGGAGCAAAAUUAUAGUUUCACUCUGGUGUUUGGAACCCAUUUAGGGUGGCACAGUGGCGCAGCAGUGGAGUUACUGUCUAACAGUGCCAGAGACCCGGGUUCGAUCCCAACUACGGGUGCUGUCUGUUUGGAGUUUGUACAUUCUCCCCCUGACCACUUGGUUUAGAUCCUGAUUCUGAGUGGUCUAGUUUCGUUCCACAUUCCAAAGAUGUGCAGGUUUGUAGGUUAAUUGGCUUUGGUAAGCUGUAUAAAUUGUCCCUUGUGUGUAGGAUAGUGGACCAGUGGAUCAAAGGGCCUGUUUGCAUGCUGUAUCUAUAAAGUGUAAAGUCCAUGGGAGAAGUGUAGAGAUACUUCUUCUGCUUGCAAAAGGCGUGUACAGACUAAAGUUGUAGGACAAUUUGUUCUAUUUGAUCUUACUUGAUUGUGCACGCCAGGUUGAUUGCAUUCGUCGAAACAGGGCGGACCACGUGAAGGUUGCAAUCUCCCACCCCUAGAGAUACUCAUAAUGGGACAUUUUAACGUAUUGAAAAUGACUUCAUAUGAACCUUCAUUUGGUAUACAUCACACAACGGCCUGCAAGCUGGCGUUGCAAUGGAAAUACCUACUAGACUCUGUUACCAGUAAGUAAAAUCCACUAAGACAGCCAGACGGACGCCUUCUGUUACCAUCACCGCCAAAAUACACCAGUGGUGCGAGGUUACAGUGGAAUAUUAUUCAUAUUAGCUGAUGAUUAUUCUUACCACAUCCCACAUAAAUGUGGCUGUAAAGAUUUCCAUUAGUGUUUGCAAUUUUUGGAACAAAAGCUCAUUUUAAUUGUGCAUUAAGGAAAACUUGGCUAUUCAGUUGCUAAGCUGAGGGGAGAUCUGCUUUUGAAUGAGUAAUUCCUACAUAUGAAAGAUGGUGCGGCAUAAUUCUAUGGAUCAUAUCAUAACUCCUAAUAAACUCAUUUAGUUUGACAUUUUCAUAAUUAUCAGAUUUGCCAAGGUCUUUUCAUAUCAUUAUCUCACCAGUUCAUUUGAAAGGGGGGGGGAAAAAAAAAACCAGAACGGUGAAUAGCUUGGAUCAAAAUGUGAUACUUUCACCCUUGGAGAAUUUUGGCAGAAGAUUAAUGUGGCUGUUAAUUGACAGGAAGUGGAAAAGGAUCCAAAAGUGAUAUGGGCCUGACCUUCUGGGGUCACGGACUGUGAGGAAGGCUGUCAAAGUACACAGCAGGAGACGCAGUGGAUCAGCUGCGGAAAUGAACGGAGAAAUGGCAUAUGGAAUUGAAUCCAAGCAAGUGUUGCAUUACGGGAAGUCAAAUGUAAGGGAAGAAUAUAGGAAUAAUGGCAAGAACCUCAGCAGGACUGCUGGAAAGACAGAUGUUGGGACCCUAAUCUAUAACUCCCUGAAAAUGACAACACAAGGAGAUCGAGUGGUAAAGAAGCCGGCAUGUUUGUCCUCAUUGGUCAGGGCAUUAAGUGUUAGAGUCAGGAAGUCAAUAUGCAGUUUUAUAGGGACUUUAGUUACACCACGUUAGGACUAUUGCAUGCACUUCUGAUCACCCCAUUACAAGAAGGAUGUGGAGGCUUUGGAAAGGGUGUGGAGUCAGUUUACCAGAAUGGUACCUGGAUUAGAAGGUUUCAGCUACGGGGAGAGGUUUGCCAGUCUUGGAUUGUUUUCUCUGCAAUGCAGAAGGUUGAGGGGAGAUCUGAUAGAAGUAUAUACAAUUAUGAGAUGCUUGGACACAAAGUGCUGGAG